UGACCGCUGGCGGCGUGCCUAAUACAUGCAAAUCGAGCGAACAGACGAGGAGCUUGCUCCUCUGACGUUAGCGGCGGACGGGUGAGUAACACGUGGAUAACCUACCUAUAAGACUGGGAUAACUUCGGGAAACCGGAGCUAAUACCGGAUAAUAUAUUGAACCGCAUGGUUCAAUAGUGAAAGACGGUUUUGCUGUCACUUAUAGAUGGAUCCGCGCCGCAUUAGCUAGUUGGUAAGGUAACGGCUUACCAAGGCAACGAUGCGUAGCCGACCUGAGAGGGUGAUCGGCCACACUGGAACUGAGACACGGUCCAGACUCCUACGGGAGGCAGCAGUAGGGAAUCUUCCGCAAUGGGCGAAAGCCUGACGGAGCAACGCCGCGUGAGUGAUGAAGGUCUUCGGAUCGUAAAACUCUGUUAUUAGGGAAGAACAAAUGUGUAAGUAACUAUGCACGUCUUGACGGUACCUAAUCAGAAAGCCACGGCUAACUACGUG
RNAcentral lists this ribosomal RNA (495 nucleotides) under uncultured bacterium. RNAcentral's name for it is "partial 16S ribosomal RNA". It matches the Rfam family "Bacterial small subunit ribosomal RNA", at positions 30 to 507 of the family's 1533-position model. The record is from RNAcentral.